Molecule: ribosomal RNA, 496 nt
Filed under: uncultured bacterium
Lineage: Bacteria
Description: partial 16S ribosomal RNA
Rfam family: Bacterial small subunit ribosomal RNA
Source: RNAcentral
AUUGAACGCUGGCGGAAUGCUUUACACAUGCAAGUCGAACGGUAGAGGGGGCAACCCCUCGAGAGUGGCGGACGGGUGAGUAAUAUAUCGGAACGUGCCCAGUCGUGGGGGAUAACGUAGCGAAAGUUACGCUAAUACCGCAUACGAUCUAAUGAUGAAAGCGGGGGAUCGCAAGACCUCGCGCGAUUGGAGCGGCCGAUAUCAGAUUAGGUAGUUGGUGGGGUAAAGGCUCACCAAGCCAACGAUCUGUAGCUGGUCUGAGAGGACGACCAGCCACACUGGAACUGAGACACGGUCCAGACUCCUACGGGAGGCAGCAGUGGGGAAUUUUGGACAAUGGACGCAAGUCUGAUCCAGCCAUCCCGCGUGCAGGAUGAAGGCCCUCGGGUUGUAAACUGCUUUUGUACGGAACGAAAAGGUCUCUCUUAAUACGGGGGACUCAUGACGGUACCGUAAGAAUAAGCACCGGCUAACUACGUGCCAGCCGCCGCCGUAA